Molecule: long non-coding RNA, 1377 nt
Organism: Aethalodelphis obliquidens (Pacific white-sided dolphin)
Lineage: Eukaryota; Metazoa; Chordata; Mammalia; Artiodactyla; Delphinidae
Exons: 8
Source: RefSeq, a predicted model, not a curated record
CCCCUCCCGGCUCGCGGACACCCAGCCAAGGCCGCGCGACCCCGCCCCACUCCGCUCGCCGUAGACCACGCACCACCCUUUUUCACCACCGCCGCCGCCCGUGCGCGUGCGCGGGGGCCGCCCUACCGGCUCGCCCUAGUCUUUUGCUUUCUUUUUCCGGCCCGGGCCUCGCUCUCGCGCACGGGACCACAAUGCUCCGCGCCGCUUGUCAUUUGGAGGCGCCCAAAGAAUUCAGCCAGAGGAACAUGAACCACAGACGUUCAUCACCCUUCCCAGGACCAAGUUCAUUUUCAGCAGUCCAGGUGGGAUGACCAGAAAUGAAAUCUGUGCUGGACUCCUUGGAUCUCCUGGAGGAGUUGGCAUAACUGGGGCACAGCCUUCUUCUCUCGACCAGGCUUCGUUGGAGUGACAGCUGGCAAGUACAUAGAGAGCCCUAGAAGAAAGACAACAAUGAUGAAACAGUUGAAUGUUACAGAUGGUGAAAAGUAGUGUUGCCUUCUCUCUGAAACAAAGAACCAUUGAAGAAUUGUUGAAGCAACGGAUGGAGAGUUGCCCAGCAACAUGAUUCCCCAGGAAUGACAAGUAACAUUCCUUGAUUCAGUGACGCCUAAGUGGAAAAGGAUGAGAUGCCUUAUCUCCUGCCUUCCCAUUUCCCCUUGGAGGACUCUGAAAUGACGAGCACUAUUGAAGAUACUAAGGGAGAAGUGUGUUGCCAGAUGACCUUCUGAGGUCCCCAGAAGGAGGAUGCAGAGAGGGAAUCCACGUCAACAAGACUGGUCUCCAUGAACAGGAGCAGGAAAUAACAUUUUCUGUGACCUACUAUGGACCAGGGGAUCUGCAGACAUUUUAUUUAGCCUUGCCCCACAGCCUUGAGAGACACUUUCUUGAAUUAAAAGUUAACGAAGUUGUGACCUUGGGUAGAUGUCUAGGAGUGGAAUUACUCGGUUGUGUGGUAAGUGCAUGAUAUACUUUUUAUGAAACUACCAAAAUAUUUUCUCAAGUGUCUGUACUAUUUUAUGUUCCCACCAGCAAUAUUUGAGGGUUCCAGUGGCUCUAUAUCUUUGCCAACAUUUGGUAUCGUCAGUCUUUUUGAUACUUCUAGUAGGUGUGUAGUAUCUCAUUUUCGUUUUAAUUUGCGUUUCUCUAAUUCCUCGUGAUGUUAAGCAUUUUUCAUGUGCUUCAUAGCAAUUUGGAAGUCGUUUUUGGUGAAAUGUCUAUUCAAAUCCUUUGCUCAUUUAAAAAUUGGAUUGUCAGUCAUUGAAUUUAUUAGUCAUAGUAGUUUGGGUUUGUUUGCUUGUAUGUUUGUUUUUUGAUAGGUUCCUUAGGAUUUUCAUGUCAUUUGUAAAUAAAGACAGUUUUUUACUUCGUUUUUUCCAA